RNAcentral lists this unclassified non-coding RNA (374 nucleotides) under uncultured Bacillota bacterium. RNAcentral describes it as "uncultured Firmicutes bacterium contains 16S-23S intergenic spacer region". The record is from RNAcentral. Lineage: Bacteria; Bacillati; Bacillota.
UCCGGUUUGUCACCGGCAGUCACCUUAGAGUGCCCAUCCUAAAUGCUGGCAACUAAGGUUAAGGGUUGCGCUCGUUGCGGGACUUAACCCAACAUCUCACGACACGAGCUGACGACAACCAUGCACCACCUGUCUCCGCUGCCCCGAAGGGAAGGUGUAUCUCUACACCGGUCAACGGGAUGUCAAGACCUGGUAAGGUUCUUCGCGUUGCUUCGAAUUAAACCACAUGCUCCACUGCUUGUGCGGGUCCCCGUCAAUUCCUUUGAGUUUCGGUCUUGCGACCGUACUCCCCAGGCGGAGUGUUUCACGCGUUAGCUGGGCCCCUGAUCCACGUAGACCAAGGGCGAACACUCAUCGUUUACGGCAUGGACUAC